UACGGAGGGAGCUAGCGUUAUUCGGAAUUACUGGGCGUAAAGCGCACGUAGGCGGCUUUGUAAGUUAGAGGUGAAAGCCUGGAGCUCAACUCCAGAACUGCCUUUAAGACUGCAUCGCUUGAAUCCAGGAGAGGUGAGUGGAAUUCCGAGUGUAGAGGUGAAAUUCGUAGAUAUUCGGAAGAACACCAGUGGCGAAGGCGGCUCACUGGACUGGUAUUGACGCUGAGGUACGAAAGCGUGGGGAGCAAACAGG
This 253-nucleotide ribosomal RNA is filed under the name uncultured bacterium. Its description in RNAcentral is "partial 16S ribosomal RNA". It matches the Rfam family "Bacterial small subunit ribosomal RNA", at positions 524 to 776 of the family's 1533-position model. The record is from RNAcentral.